GGGUUGUGAGGUUAAGCGACUAAGCGUACACGGUGGAUGCCCUGGCAGUCAGAGGCGAUGAAGGACGUGCUAAUCUGCGAUAAGCGUCGGUAAGGUGAUAUGAACCGUUAUAACCGGCGAUUUCCGAAUGGGGAAACCCAGUGUGUUUCGACACACUAUCAUUAACUGAAUCCAUAGGUUAAUGAGGCGAACCGGGGGAACUGAAACAUCUAAGUACCCCGAGGAAAAGAAAUCAACCGAGAUUCCCCCAGUAGCGGCGAGCGAACGGGGAGCAGCCCAGAGCCUGAAUCAGUGUGUGUGUUAGUGGAAGCGUCUGGAAAGGCGCGCGAUACAGGGUGACAGCCCCGUACACAAAAAUGCACAUGCUGUGAGCUCGAUGAGUAGGGCGGGACACGUGGUAUCCUGUCUGAAUAUGGGGGGACCAUCCUCCAAGGCUAAAUACUCCUGACUGACCGAUAGUGAACCAGUACCGUGAGGGAAAGGCGAAAAGAACCCCGGCGAGGGGAGUGAAAAAGAACCUGAAACCGUGUACGUACAAGCAGUGGGAGCACAGAGCAAUCUGUGUGACUGCGUACCUUUUGUAUAAUGGGUCAGCGACUUAUAUUCUGUAGCAAGGUUAACCGAAUAGGGGAGCCGAAGGGAAACCGAGUCUUAACUGGGCGUUAAGUUGCAGGGUAUAGACCCGAAACCCGGUGAUCUAGCCAUGGGCAGGUUGAAGGUUGGGUAACACUAACUGGAGGACCGAACCGACUAAUGUUGAAAAAUUAGCGGAUGACUUGUGGCUGGGGGUGAAAGGCCAAUCAAACCGGGAGAUAGCUGGUUCUCCCCGAAAGCUAUUUAGGUAGCGCCUCGUGAAUUCAUCUCCGGGGGUAGAGCACUGUUUCGGCAAGGGGGUCAUCCCGACUUACCAACCCGAUGCAAACUGCGAAUACCGGAGAAUGUUAUCACGGGAGACACACGGCGGGUGCUAACGUCCGUCGUGAAGAGGGAAACAACCCAGACCGCCAGCUAAGGUCCCAAAGUCAUGGUUAAGUGGGAAACGAUGUGGGAAGGCCCAGACAGCCAGGAUGUUGGCUUAGAAGCAGCCAUCAUUUAAAGAAAGCGUAAUAGCUCACUGGUCGAGUCGGCCUGCGCGGAAGAUGUAACGGGGCUAAACCAUGCACCGAAGCUGCGGCAGCGACGCUUAUGCGUUGUUGGGUAGGGGAGCGUUCUGUAAGCCUGCGAAGGUGUGCUGUGAGGCAUGCUGGAGGUAUCAGAAGUGCGAAUGCUGACAUAAGUAACGAUAAAGCGGGUGAAAAGCCCGCUCGCCGGAAGACCAAGGGUUCCUGUCCAACGUUAAUCGGGGCAGGGUGAGUCGACCCCUAAGGCGAGGCCGAAAGGCGUAGUCGAUGGGAAACAGGUUAAUAUUCCUGUACUUGGUGUUACUGCGAAGGGGGGACGGAGAAGGCUAUGUUGGCCGGGCGACGGUUGUCCCGGUUUAAGCGUGUAGGCUGGUUUUCCAGGCAAAUCCGGAAAAUCAAGGCUGAGGCGUGAUGACGAGGCACUACGGUGCUGAAGCAACAAAUGCCCUGCUUCCAGGAAAAGCCUCUAAGCAUCAGGUAACAUCAAAUCGUACCCCAAACCGACACAGGUGGUCAGGUAGAGAAUACCAAGGCGCUUGAGAGAACUCGGGUGAAGGAACUAGGCAAAAUGGUGCCGUAACUUCGGGAGAAGGCACGCUGAUAUGUAGGUGAAGCGACUUGCUCGUGGAGCUGAAAUCAGUCGAAGAUACCAGCUGGCUGCAACUGUUUAUUAAAAACACAGCACUGUGCAAACACGAAAGUGGACGUAUACGGUGUGACGCCUGCCCGGUGCCGGAAGGUUAAUUGAUGGGGUCAGCGCAAGCGAAGCUCUUGAUCGAAGCCCCGGUAAACGGCGGCCGUAACUAUAACGGUCCUAAGGUAGCGAAAUUCCUUGUCGGGUAAGUUCCGACCUGCACGAAUGGCGUAAUGAUGGCCAGGCUGUCUCCACCCGAGACUCAGUGAAAUUGAACUCGCUGUGAAGAUGCAGUGUACCCGCGGCAAGACGGAAAGACCCCGUGAACCUUUACUAUAGCUUGACACUGAACAUUGAGCCUUGAUGUGUAGGAUAGGUGGGAGGCUUUGAAGUGUGGACGCCAGUCUGCAUGGAGCCGACCUUGAAAUACCACCCUUUAAUGUUUGAUGUUCUAACGUUGACCCGUAAUCCGGGUUGCGGACAGUGUCUGGUGGGUAGUUUGACUGGGGCGGUCUCCUCCUAAAGAGUAACGGAGGAGCACGAAGGUUGGCUAAUCCUGGUCGGACAUCAGGAGGUUAGUGCAAUGGCAUAAGCCAGCUUGACUGCGAGCGUGACGGCGCGAGCAGGUGCGAAAGCAGGUCAUAGUGAUCCGGUGGUUCUGAAUGGAAGGGCCAUCGCUCAACGGAUAAAAGGUACUCCGGGGAUAACAGGCUGAUACCGCCCAAGAGUUCAUAUCGACGGCGGUGUUUGGCACCUCGAUGUCGGCUCAUCACAUCCUGGGGCUGAAGUAGGUCCCAAGGGUAUGGCUGUUCGCCAUUUAAAGUGGUACGCGAGCUGGGUUUAGAACGUCGUGAGACAGUUCGGUCCCUAUCUGCCGUGGGCGCUGGAGAACUGAGGGGGGCUGCUCCUAGUACGAGAGGACCGGAGUGGACGCAUCACUGGUGUUCGGGUUGUCAUGCCAAUGGCACUGCCCGGUAGCUAAAUGCGGAAGAGAUAAGUGCUGAAAGCAUCUAAGCACGAAACUUGCCCCGAGAUGAGUUCUCCCUGACUCCUUGAGAGUCCUGAAGGAACGUUGAAGACGACGACGUUGAUAGGCCGGGUGUGUAAGCGCAGCGAUGCGUUGAGCUAACCGGUACUAAUGAACCGUGAGGCUUAACCUUACAACGCCGAAGGUGUUU
This 2933-nucleotide ribosomal RNA is filed under the name Escherichia coli. RNAcentral's name for it is "23S ribosomal RNA". It matches the Rfam family "Bacterial large subunit ribosomal RNA". Lineage: Bacteria; Pseudomonadati; Pseudomonadota; Gammaproteobacteria; Enterobacterales; Enterobacteriaceae. The record is from RNAcentral.